Molecule: ribosomal RNA, 497 nt
Filed under: uncultured bacterium
Lineage: Bacteria
Description: partial 16S ribosomal RNA
Rfam family: Bacterial small subunit ribosomal RNA
Source: RNAcentral
GAUGAACGCUGGCGGCGUGCCUAAUACAUGCAAGUCGAGCGAACAGAUAAGGAGCUUGCUCCUUUGACGUUAGCGGCGGACGGGUGAGUAACACGUGGGUAACCUACCUAUAAGACUGGAAUAACUCCGGGAAACCGGGGCUAAUGCCGGAUAACAUUUAGAACCGCAUGGUUCUAAAGUGAUAGAUGGUUUUGCUAUCACUUAUAGAUGGACCCGCGCCGUAUUAGCUAGUUGGUAAGGUAACGGCUUACCAAGGCAACGAUACGUAGCCGACCUGAGAGGGUGAUCGGCCACACUGGAACUGAGACACGGUCCAGACUCCUACGGGAGGCAGCAGUAGGGAAUCUUCCGCAAUGGGCGAAAGCCUGACGGAGCAACGCCGCGUGAGUGAUGAAGGUCUUCGGAUCGUAAAACUCUGUUAUUAGGGAAGAACAAAUGUGUAAGUAACUGUGCACGUCUUGACGGUACCUAAUCAGAAAGCCACGGCUAACUACGUG